RNAcentral lists this long non-coding RNA (415 nucleotides) under Sus scrofa (pig). RNAcentral's name for it is "lncRNA (ENSSSCG00070027181.1)". Lineage: Eukaryota; Metazoa; Chordata; Mammalia; Artiodactyla; Suidae. The record is from RNAcentral.
CUUGAUUAGUUGGCUACAUUGUUGACCUAUAUUUAAGCAGAUCUAUAAACAAAAGAACAAUUUCACUUCCUUAGGGCCCACAGCAGAGGAAAUGGCAAUGAGCAAAGAGCAGAGUCCUUGGCUUCCCUUUUUCAGAAUCUUCUAGGCCAUGAUCAUUGGUGCCUCUGUGGACAGCCUCUGUCUGCAGAUCAGAGCACCAUUGCCAGUUGCCAAGAGGAACUUUCUCUGAGGCUUCUGGAAGAGGAAUCCAUGCUGCUGUGGCUUUUGCUGCUGGUUCUAGGGAUCCCUGUGUCUUUUGUCUCCAUGGAAACGCUACCUCCAAGGGGGCAGGUGGUUGAAGAGAAGAUGCUGGCUGGUCCUUGUCUGCUCUGAGUCUGAAGGCACAGGGGGCAUCAUGUUUUCCUGACACAGAGAG